This 331-nucleotide ribosomal RNA is filed under the name Clostridium botulinum. Its description in RNAcentral is "bacterial SSU rRNA". It matches the Rfam family "Bacterial small subunit ribosomal RNA", at positions 1 to 329 of the family's 1533-position model. The record is from RNAcentral. Lineage: Bacteria; Bacillati; Bacillota; Clostridia; Eubacteriales; Clostridiaceae.
UUUAAAUUUAGAGUUUGAUCCUGGCUCAGGACGAACGCUGGCGGCGUGCUUAACACAUGCAAGUCGAGCGAUGAAGCUUCCUUCGGGAAGUGGAUUAGCGGCGGACGGGUGAGUAACACGUGGGUAACCUGCCUCAAAGUGGGGGAUAGCCUUCCGAAAGGAAGAUUAAUACCGCAUAAUAUGAGAGAAUCGCAUGAUUUUCUCAUCAAAGAUUUAUUGCUUUGAGAUGGACCCGCGGCGCAUUAGCUAGUUGGUAAGGUAACGGCUUACCAAGGCAACGAUGCGUAGCCGACCUGAGAGGGUGAUCGGCCACAUUGGAACUGAGACACGG